ACGACUGCUAAGACUGGAUAGGAAAUUAAGAGGCAUCUUUUAAUUUUUAAAAGACCUUUUCAAAAGGUAUGCUUAAAGAGGGGCUUGCGCCACAUUAGUUAGUUGGUAAGGUAAAAGCUUACCAAGACGAUGAUGUGUAGCUGGACUGAGAGGUCGAACAGCCACAUUGGGACUGAGACACGGCCCAAACUCCUACGGGAGGCAGCAGUAAGGAAUUUUUGGCAAUGGAGGAAACUCUGACCGAGCGACGCCGCGUGAACAAUGAAGUACUUCGGUAUGUAAAGUUCUUUUAUUGAAAAAGAAAAAAUAGUGGAAAAACUAUCUUGACAUUAUUCAAUGAAUAAGCCCCGGCUAAUUAUGUGCCAGCAGCCGCGGUAAUACAUAAGGGGCGAGCGUUAUCCGGAAUUAUUGGGCGUAAAGGGUGCGUAGGCGGUUUGAUAAGUCUAUAGUUUAAAUGCAGUGCUUAACGCUGUAGCGCUAUAGAAACUGUCUGACUAGAGUUAGAUAGAGGCAAGCGGAAUUCCAUGUGUAGCGGUAAAAUGCGUAAAUAUAUGGAGGAACACCAGAGGCGUAGGCGGCUUGCUGGGUCUUAACUGACGCUGAGGCACGAAAGCGUGGGGAGCAAACAGGAUUAGAUACCCUGGUAGUCCACGCCGUAAACGAUGAGUACUAAGUGUCGGGUUUCGGCUCGGUACUGAAGUUAACACAUUAAGUACUCCGCCUGAGUAGUACGUACGCAAGUAUGAAACUUAAAGGAAUUGACGGGACCCCGCACAAGCGGUGGAUCAUGUUGUUUAAUUCGAAGAUACACGAAAAACCUUACCAGGUCUUGACAUAAUUUUGCGACAUUAUAGAAAUAUAAUGAAGGUUAUCAGAAUUACAGGUGGUGCAUGGUUGUCGUCAGCUCGUGUCGUGAGAUGUUAGGUUAAGUCCUAAAACGAGCGCAACCCUUGUCGUUAGUUGCGACCACAUAAUGGUGAGCACUUUAGCGAGACUGCCAAUGAAAAAUUGGAGGAAGGUGAGGAUUACGUCAAAUCAUCAUGCCCCUUAUGAUCUGGGCUACAAACGUGAUACAAUGGCUGUUACAAAGAGUAGCUACAACGUGAGUUUUUAGCCAAUCUCAAAAAAACAGUCUCAGUUCGGAUUGAAGUCUGCAACUCGACUUCAUGAAGUUGGAAUCGCUAGUAAUCGCGAAUCAGCAUGUCGCGGUGAAUACGUUCUCGGGGUUUGUACACACCGCCCGUCA
This 1246-nucleotide ribosomal RNA is filed under the name Candidatus Phytoplasma phoenicium. RNAcentral describes it as "bacterial SSU rRNA". It matches the Rfam family "Bacterial small subunit ribosomal RNA", at positions 156 to 1399 of the family's 1533-position model. The record is from RNAcentral. Lineage: Bacteria; Bacillati; Mycoplasmatota; Mollicutes; Acholeplasmatales; Acholeplasmataceae.